CCGCGUGAGUGAUGAAGGUUUUCGGAUCGUAAAGCUCUGUUGUUAGGGAAGAACAAGUACCGUUCGAAUAGGGCGGUACCUUGACGGUACCUAACCAGAAAGCCACGGCUAACUACGUGCCAGCAGCCGCGGUAAUACGUAGGUGGCAAGCGUUGUCCGGAAUUAUUGGGCGUAAAGGGCUCGCAGGCGGUUCCUUAAGUCUGAUGUGAAAGCCCCCGGCUCAACCGGGGAGGGUCAUUGGAAACUGGGGAACUUGAGUGCAGAAGAGGAGAGUGGAAUUCCACGUGUAGCGGUGAAAUGCGUAGAGAUGUGGAGGAACACCAGUGGCGAAGGCGACUCUCUGGUCUGUAACUGACGCUGAGGAGCGAAAGCGUGGGGAGCGAACAGGAUUAGAUACCCUGGUAGUCCACGCCGUAAACGAUGAGUGCUAAGUGUUAGGGGGUUUCCGCCCCUUAGUGCUGCAGCUAACGCAUUAAGCACUCCGCCGGGGGAGAUUCCCC
RNAcentral lists this ribosomal RNA (500 nucleotides) under Bacillus mojavensis. RNAcentral's name for it is "bacterial SSU rRNA". It matches the Rfam family "Bacterial small subunit ribosomal RNA", at positions 397 to 887 of the family's 1533-position model. Lineage: Bacteria; Bacillati; Bacillota; Bacilli; Caryophanales; Bacillaceae. The record is from RNAcentral.